This 3108-nucleotide ribosomal RNA is filed under the name Triticum aestivum (bread wheat). RNAcentral describes it as "partial small subunit ribosomal RNA". The record is from RNAcentral. Lineage: Eukaryota; Viridiplantae; Streptophyta; Magnoliopsida; Poales; Poaceae.
CCGGGGGCGGAACCGGGGGGAGGAGCGGACGGAGCGCUAGGACCGCCGGCACCGCCUGCGCCGCACGGCCGUGUGGUUGGACUGCCGCCCGAAGCGCCGUCUGGAGUGGUACGACGUCGUGGUCGACGCCCCGUGCCACGCGGAGCUGGGGAGGCCGCGGACGCGCGAGGUCGAGUGCGCGAAGCUGGAGGAGCGGCGGAGGGGCAGGCGCGCGAAGACCCGGCGGCUGCCGGGAAGGGAGCUGCUGGAGCGGUUUCCGGCGGGGAAAAGCGGCGAGGGCGAGUUGCGGUGGAAGGCGUUGCUCUGCGAGGCGGAGGGGAAGAGGCGGGGCGACGGCGGCGAGGAGCGGUAGAAGCUGGGGCUGUGGAGGAGGCUGGAGCCGGUGCAGAAGGAGAGGCGGCGGAGGUUGAGGAGGUUGCGGUGGCGGCGAGAGCGGAGGGCCUAGCGGUGCGGGUGGUACAAGCUGUUGACGCAGGUCGAGAGACUCCCGAUGGCGGAAGCGACCUGCGAGUUGCGUAGGCGGCCGCUCCAGCUGUAGCCGGAGCUCCGGCGCCAGCCGAGGCUCAUGAUGUACCGGAAGCCCACCCGACUGGGGUUCCGGUUGAGGGGGCGGUACCAGGCGAGGCUGCAGCAGCAGCGACCGAAGUGGCUCCUUCCAUACGGCAAGCGACUCCUGAUGAUGUAAUGGCUGAUGUCACUCACGUGGUACCCCUUCCUACUGGACGGACACAGGCCUCACACGGGCCUGUCACGAAUGCUACUGCCCUCCUUGCUAAGGUCCGACCAAAUACCCGUGGCCGCCCUACCACACAGAAAGCAGUCCAUGUUCUCCUUUGAGCUGUCACUCCUACUGUUUAUACUACACGAACAACCACGGUGCCUCCUCUACCGACACCAGACCCGGUAGCCUUUCGACGCAGGCGGCCUGUGAAACGCCGGCGUGAUGGAAGGCGUCUUAGUACCCCCAGGCUCCCUACUUUGGAAACCCAACUACUCCGAGUUAAACAGGCUCCGUCACCUGUCAACGGAACCUGGCAACCUACGGCUGUUAUUCGUUCUGGUCCUGUCCUAGUAACGGCUGCCCUUCUGCGGUGACCAACACUGUAGGCGAGGUCGUCACGCGAUGGGUUUGGGUGGUUUGGGACUGUUCCACUAAAUGUAGUUGUUCUUCCUCCGCGGUGACGACUUCCAGCUCUCCCCACACGGCCACUUCAAGAGUCACGUCCGACCCGUACUACACCGUGACAUACAGUGAAGUCUGGGGUAGCCACCUUUACGGUGAAACUCCUUAUUCUGACUCCAGUAUAUACGGCCACCGGGACUACAAGUACCACACGGUCGUUGGGGGUGUCUUGACCAAACCGACGGACUAUCCUUAUGUGGACUAGAACAGAUGAUGGUCAGCCACAUACUUCGUUUCUACCCCACCUUCCAAGUUCACCAACUACCUCCGGAGUCACUGUACAUGUUAUUGUCACAGGACAACCUACUAGUCGUCCAAUGAGACAAAACCUGAGACAGGUGACUGAGAUAUAGAUAUCGUCGAGCUCCACUCUUCUUUUCGCCCAUGGAACGACAGCGCAAACCCUCACCCUACGACUUGUCAAUACGGAUACAACCGACCCAUCCGUUACUACCUCAACCCUCCCAGUUCUGAAUGACCUAACUACCUUUCUCACGUCGUCCAUAAGUAAGUUGUAGACUUUUAAAUUGGAUACAGUCCACAUUUAGUCUUCUACCGCAAUAAUGUAAACUCAAAUGUGCAGGAGAAUUCGGAAGGACAUGACCUUUCCACCUCACGUUCUUAUAAUAACUAGGUUGGUGUGGAGAAUUCCAACAAACCCGGUACCCACGUUCGACCAGUCCUCUACUGGACUGCCUGUCAUUAUACGUAAGCCAGUGUUCGUCAGCGGGGUAUGCACAAGAAAACAACUCUCCAAGUCGACUCCGUCUUGUCCUGAACGCCGGGCAAGACCGACACGUACCUAAAUACUACAAACACCGGACCCCGUAGAACGAAGGACCACCUUAUAACCGACGAGCCAUAAACUUUUCGAACUUCCCUCUGCCCACCAUGGUUUAUGUACAGAUAGACGUCAUAAGACCCUAGAGAUAUUACAAGGAACCGCAGGAAAAACGACGUCGGCUCGAGGCUCCAAAGAUACAACUAAGUCACGUGCAGUUCAAACCAAAUAGUCGGAAUGACAACCGUCGAAAAGUCGGCGAGUUACGGAUAAAGGCCGGGUUCUCCGGGCGAUUACCCCUCCAAGGUGGGGCCUUGGCACAGGAGACCCUCAUGGAUGUACAGUAGUGUCCCUCCAGUCGUUAACAGCAGCCUCAGCACCGUGAAAAGUGGCCUUACUUCGUAAAUCCGGUCUCCAUACUGUCACUUUUACAUCUCCUCGAGUGGACCCGGAACUACGACACCCACGAAAGACGGUAUCAAUAUCGAGACAGGGAUCUUAUAUUUCUCCAGUUUGCUUCCCCGCCGCUGGCUUCGAAGUCUCCCGUGACCCAAGAUCCAUUGUGGCUCCUUCUACUGAGCCAACUAGAGAACGUAGGACUGUCGAGACGGUCCUCAAGUCUUAGAUCCGGAAGACCACAUUACCUCCACGUCGAACUCGGAGAGUGGUCUACUCAUCAUCUUAUCGCAUCUAGUUAGACAUAGAGGGUCACAGUCUAUGUGUGUGUGUGUGUGUGGUUCAGGACAAAAGUCAGUAUGUUGUCUUUGUCUACCACAGGUGUUCGUGCCACUGAAAGGCGAGUCUUUCUUUUAACUUAAAGAGUACGAACAAAGAAGAUGGUACCGUCUUACCAUGGUCCGAUGUAUCCUAGAAGUUUAAUACGGAAACUAAGGAACGCAGUGUGACAAGUCUAACAUAUCACAUGUAAAACAAAAAAGUGUUAUCUGUCCGUGUUAAACAAUGUAACGGGGGUUCAUUAAGAAAAGGGGUAGUCUAAAACUCUCUCUCUCUCUAUUCUAUAUGUAAAACAAUUGACCCGUCUCGUGAGCUCCCUGUCUUUAACACAUAGUAUCACGAUUACGAUAAGUUAUAAGUAAAACUCUAUUUUCCCUUGUCUACAACAUUACACGAAUCUUAAAACUUG